Non-coding RNA from Petromyzon marinus (sea lamprey), 1219 nucleotides. The record is from RefSeq and is a predicted model, not a curated record. NCBI's taxonomy places the organism in Eukaryota, Metazoa, Chordata, Hyperoartia, Petromyzontiformes, Petromyzontidae.
UUGCUACUGGGGUUGCAAGGAUGUGGGGAUGUAGGUCACCAGCAUUUUUCUACGUCUCAACUUAAGCAUAAUAGGCUGAACUCCUUGUCAUUGAGUAUUUUCCUGAUUUCCAUGGACUUUUUAUUAAGUUACAUAACAUUUCAGUGAGGGAAUAUUUGUUGAUUUUAGAUGGGGUUUUUUGGGCUUAUGUGGCCAACAAGUCGUUUCUUCUUUAUAGGCGGUGGAUACUGUCCCCACAAACUCUACUCGUUUCUCAGUUGUAACUGUUGGUUUGAAACAUAUCUCCUUUACUGCAUGUGCAAAGGUCUUUGAAAUUACCCCCUACCUCUCAUAAACGCUAUCACGUCAACCACUCACGGAAGCUGAACCUAAACACCACAUUCAACGUUCAUCAUCAGCAGCGCGAGGCGAUUCUGAUGCUCCAUGGACGCUCACAUCUACAAGGAAAUAAAUCACAACCAAGUUCGCUCUUAACAACUGUUUAUGCAAAGCCAAGGGACAGGGAGGUCAAUGAGUUCGAGACUUGGGUUUUGAGCGGGACGAGUACUGGACAUUGGAUGUGGGAGUCUGAAAGUCUGUGGCGAGGAGAGGGGAGCAUCAUGACCUCGCGAAUGAACCCAGCAGUGCUCAUGAUGGGAGCAAAACUCCUGCUCAUGAUCUCUUUACUGCACAAGUCGUCUCUCGCCAAGGAGUGUGGUGAUGGAUUCUAUAAAUCACAACGAGGCGUCUGUUGUGAGCUGUGCCCUGCAGGGACAUACAAGAUGUUUGACUGCAUAGCUGAUAAAGCGAGAGCCGCGUGUGAUCUAUGCCCUGAGGGCAGCUUCAUGACCAGAGACAACCAUGAGGAGACGUGUGCACAGUGCAGCAGCUGCGGACCAGGUAAAUAACUGCACAGCAAGUAGGUUACGGCCAUAUCUGCAUUGUUUGUUUUUGAGAUUCAUCUGUUUGUGUGCUUCAAAUUCCAAUUGUGUAUUUAGCAUCUUAGAAUAAGGCAAAUAAGUUAUAUUUGGAGUGCACAGUGAAAAAACAAACCAGAAUAUCAAACAAACCAGGAUACCAGCAGUGUCGAUAUCCUGGUUUGUGAAUCUGCAAUAAUUAAUAAUUUCCUGGCAAUUGCAAAAUUAUCAGGCAUGUUCCUGAUCUCAUCAGAUAUCAGAAACUAAACAAGGUUCAACCUGGAGUAUCCACUGUGCAUAUAACUUGUAAUAGAGAACGCUAC